GUAAUAUAUCGGAACGUGCCCAGUCGUGGGGGAUAACGUAGCGAAAGCUACGCUAAUACCGCAUACGAUCUAUGGAUGAAAGCGGGGGAUCGCAAGACCUCGCGCGAUUGGAGCGGCCGAUAUCAGAUUAGGUAGUUGGUGAGGUAAAGGCUCACCAAGCCGACGAUCUGUAGCUGGUCUGAGAGGACGACCAGCCACACUGGGACUGAGACACGGCCCAGACUCCUACGGGAGGCAGCAGUGGGGAAUUUUGGACAAUGGGCGCAAGCCUGAUCCAGCAAUGCCGCGUGCAGGAUGAAGGCCUUCGGGUUGUAAACUGCUUUGUACGGAACGAAACGGUGAGCUCUAAUACAGUUUGCUAAUGACGGUACCGUAAGAAUAAGCACCGGCUAACUACGUG
This 400-nucleotide ribosomal RNA is filed under the name uncultured bacterium. Its description in RNAcentral is "bacterial SSU rRNA". It matches the Rfam family "Bacterial small subunit ribosomal RNA", at positions 110 to 507 of the family's 1533-position model. The record is from RNAcentral.